CUAUAAGUAAAACCCAAAGUCCACUAAUAAAAACCGAAACCCAAAGUCUACAAAUAAGAUUCCAGAACUGAAAGUCCACAAAUAGAACCCAAAACCUAAAGUCCGCAAAUAAAACCCCGAAAUCCAAAACCUCUCAAAUCUAACCGACCAUAAAGUCGUUAAACUAAACAACUAAAUCCAAACGACCGUAAAGUCGUUAAUCUAAACAACCCACAUUCAAACGACCGAAACGUCGUUAAACUAAACUCAAAUUCAAACGACCGAAACGUCGCUAAACUAAACCCAAAAUCAAACGACCGUAAAGUCGUUAAACUAAAUUCAAAAUCAAAUGACCGUAAAGUCGUUAAACUAAAUCCAAGUUCAUCAUGAACCUUUUCUACUCUAGCACAUAUAUCUAGAGUAAAAAAUUAAAUAUCGACUACCCCUAAUACA
Molecule: long non-coding RNA, 432 nt
Filed under: Ananas comosus (pineapple)
Lineage: Eukaryota; Viridiplantae; Streptophyta; Magnoliopsida; Poales; Bromeliaceae
Description: long non-coding RNA (ACOM_LNC033386)
Source: RNAcentral